This is a long non-coding RNA of Actinia tenebrosa (Australian red waratah sea anemone), 145 nucleotides long. The record is from RefSeq and is a predicted model, not a curated record. Lineage: Eukaryota; Metazoa; Cnidaria; Anthozoa; Actiniaria; Actiniidae.
UACUUCCCAUAGUUCACUGCGCUCGUAAUGGUUCUUUCUCUUCUACUGUAACCUCUGUAGAUAGGAAUACAGUAUAUUGUGUUGUGUUAUCUUCGGGAAUUCUCAGAACUUUGAGGAACGACACAUUAAACCUUUAGAUCGAUAU